UUAGGAUGGGCAACUGUUUUGAA
Molecule: unclassified non-coding RNA, 23 nt
Filed under: Dictyostelium discoideum
Lineage: Eukaryota; Evosea; Eumycetozoa; Dictyosteliales; Dictyosteliaceae
Source: RNAcentral